AGUUGUUAGAAACAGCAGAUUUAAUACUGUUGCUGUUCUGAAUAAAGAAAUAAGAAAAUUCCCAUCACAGUGGUACUCAGAAAAAUUAAAAAUAACCGGUAUUAACAUCAUUAAUCGCCUUGGAGCCAAGAAUUUUCCAGCCAGCUUACCUGGUGCAAGAUUUUCUGUCUUGUUUUUCCUUCACUUAGUAGAUAAAAAAUGAAUUCAUACUGACAUAAUAAGCAAAUUUUUUCUUGUGCAGAUAUUCUAUUUGCAAAGCUUGAGCAAAAACGUCUGGACAAGUGGAGAAAACUGAGACUAAACCAAACCUGCAACUGGUUGAAAUAACCACCAAUUUAUCUGGUGUUUUCAAACUUUGUAGCUAGACUCGACUCUAUAAGAUUUUCACUUAUUCAAAGUUUUGAACAAGUCCAACACCAUCAUGAUAUACCUGCUGCUCCAGGAGUUUUGGUACAUACAAGUUCUUAAGUUCUUUCCCAACAAGGAAGACUGAAGGCAGGUGAUUUAUAAACAGCUUCUGCUUAAAUGAUUCUUUUCUUUGACAAAGCAGCACUUAAGAUCUAUCCCAAAAAGAAGUCAUAUGGUUGCAUGGCAUCACUAAAACGUCUCACUCAGACAUCAAAAUGAGACUGUAGGAUGACGAUGAGUGACGGAGGUGGCCUGUGCAGUCAUUAAAUAGGUUGCAUCUUCUUCUUCCUUUUAUGAGCCGUAUGUCAGCUGUACUGCUCUACACUGCCCCUGGGUUUCUGGUGGUACUACUCCAAUGUUCUUUCAGGGAACAGAGUUACAAGGCCCUGAAAACAGCCUAAAUCACGCAAGUUUAUAUGGGCAAUCCUCUCGUCCCCCCACCCAGAAAUGUGUGCAGCGCCGGCCCGGCUGCAGGUGAGCUGUAAUUAAGCAGAGAGCAGACAUUAUGGAGCAGAUGAGCUGCAGGAGACACACAGCAGCAGCUUUCUGCCAUCUGAUCCACCAGCAGCAGACACGUUGCACAGUCUGAGGCUGGCCAAAAGAGGCUGGAAUGCAGUCUGUCUGUCAGGGUGAAAAAGAAGCAGAAAAGAAGAAGAAAGAAAGGAAAGCGCCACCUCAUCAUUUCCCGGUUCAACCUCCAGCUCUGAUCUUCAGCGUCACUAGCAUCUAGAUGGAACACACAUCUACCUCAAAAGCUUAAUUUGAGGAUUUAUUAUUUUCUGUUGACUCAAUCAAAUGAUUGCAAUCUGAAGAAUGUCCAUGUUUAUGAGCCAUUCCAAUGCUGUAAUAUACGAUAAGUAAUUUAUUCAAUAAAAAUGCUUGUCCAAAGGAUUCAACACUAGACACUUGUACUGUAUAAUACGACAUACAAAACAAAAUGUGUGCU
Melanotaenia boesemani (Boeseman's rainbowfish) is the source of this 1354-nucleotide long non-coding RNA. RefSeq lists it as uncharacterized. The record is from RefSeq and is a predicted model, not a curated record. The transcript has 3 exons. Lineage: Eukaryota; Metazoa; Chordata; Actinopteri; Atheriniformes; Melanotaeniidae.